This is a long non-coding RNA of Humulus lupulus (European hop), 31096 nucleotides long. RefSeq lists it as uncharacterized. The transcript is spliced from 2 exons. NCBI's taxonomy places the organism in Eukaryota, Viridiplantae, Streptophyta, Magnoliopsida, Rosales, Cannabaceae. The record is from RefSeq and is a predicted model, not a curated record.
UAAGAAAACCCAAAUUUUUGGAUUAGCAUCCUUCUUUCUCUCUCUCUCUCUCUCUUGCGUCUCAUCUUUACCAUGCUUGAUGGCCGCCGUUCCAUUUAUCGACGAUGACACGCACCGCAUAGGCAGCUUCACAGGCAGCCGAAACCCCAGCCCCCAUGAGCAAGCCACCCCACGCACCGCCUAAGGGCCACAACGUAGUUGCCGAAGGCGUCUGCCACCAAGAAGUUUCGAGGGAUUUUUUGGCGGUCUCCUAUCUUCCCAAGCCACUCCACCACCUCCACGAUAUUCUUCAUGGUUUGAGCUCCCAAACCCAGUAGUGGAUCAGAGCUAACCAUCACCAGAAAGUAUCUUUGAAUCACUCCAGAGUUGUUUACUCUCGGAGUCGAUCCCGUCGCAUAUGGUGGAGAUGGACGACACCACCCCGCUUGUUGAGUUUGAGGAUUCAAGUGCAACCUUUUUCUCCUUGGUUCUGCAUGUUUGGGUGGCCACUACUAUGAGCUGCCCCCGCCGUUGCCGAUACCCCUCUGUGGGUCUCGGCUAGCCACCAUUUUGGUGCCUCGGAUUUCACUUUGACCGCCAAAGCUCACCAUCAAACUCGUAUCAGUCUCCGGGUGUUGGGUAUAAAUUCUAAUCCUUAAAUUUAUAUAUUUGAGUUUUAGAAAUUAAAUGGGAUUUAGGAUAAUUAUUGUGCAUUUUUGUGUUUAAUUGUUUGUUAUGGAUUGUAUUGAUGAGUUAGAUCGUUCUGUGAUUUAUUUGUCUACUUUGGGAAUGUAACUGUGUUAUUUAUGCAGGUUUUUAAAAUUUGGGGAUGUCUGAUUUGCAGUCAUUAUGCUGCCUAAAUUUCUAGAAAAUUAACGAACUCGUAUUGAGUUAGUUAUAUAAAAUUAUUUGUUAUAUUAGAAUUAAUUAGAAUAGUGGUUUCUAAAGAUUGUCAAUUUAAGUUACGAAUAUGAAAUUUUUAGUUAGUAUUUUUAAUAUCUCUCGAGGCUAGAAAAAUAUUUUUAUUAGAAAUUUUUAUGAGCGAUAUGUUAUUAUGAGUUAAUAGUGCGGUUUUCAUAAUAAUAUCAAUGUUGUUAUCAAAUGGAAGCUAUUAUUAUGGUUAUUAUGGAUUUUGAAAGAAAUAGGAACUUAUGAUUUUUAACUUAGUGAAAGAGGAAAUUGUUCCUGUUUGAAUUAUCAACAUAAUUUUUAUAGUAUGAAUUUCUAAAUAAUAUUAGAAAUUAUUAAAAGGAAAUUAUUAUUUUCAUUAUUAUGAAUUAUGAAACAAUAAACAAAUAAUUUCCAAAGCUUGUUGAAUAAAGUUUUAUGAGCAUGAGCCUUAGGCUAUAUUAUUAUAAUAGCUUCAAAUUAUGAUAUGAGAUAUGGACACUAGUAUGAAUUAAUGAUUAAAGACCCAAAUUAACAUUUUAUUAAGAAUUUUAUUUUGGCAAUUAUGGAUUUUAAUCAUAAUUAUAUAGUUAACCAAGAAUAAUGGUUAUAUUAAUAUAAUUUUUUUGCAAUAAUAGAGAUCAAUUUUUUUUAUAAUUAUUAUGAAUGGGCUUGGGGUAAUUGUUUAUGAUUUAUGCAAAAUUAUUUACAAAUAGGGAUUUCAUCUAUGGAUAUCCUUAUUAUUAUUGCUAAGGAUUAUAUGCCUGCUGAUUUGCUAAUUAUUAUCAUUAUUCUGAUUUUCUGUCAACUAUGAAAAAAAGAAAGCUUGUAGAAAAGAAUAAUCAGAGAGCACAAACAAUUUUGUGUGGUUCAACCGUUAACGAGGUCUAGCCCACGAGUCACUUGUAUUAGGGAAAGGUCACCGAAAUCACAAGAUUUUUAGGGUUUUACAGCUUGGGUAGAUGAUUUUCUUAUUCCAAGGUAAAAAUGGGAGUCCAAAUCUAGGGUUUCAAAUCCUUACAAAUGAUCCCUCAUGAGGGUAGAAAUGGGCUGUUAGCCAUAAUGAAUAAAAUGUUUACAUUUAUUUCCUUAAUUUUUGGGGAAUUAUCCAUUACAGAAAUAAUAUUCUACAUGUGUCACUCAGCUACAGGCCCGAUUGGGUGGCCUUCUAACAUGAAAAGAGGGUGGUCCUCGAAAUCCUAACAGAAAGGUACCCGGGACCACUUCUCCAAUGAAGUCCGUGUGAAUCCUAUCCUUUGUGGUCCCUAGAUCUUCGAAAAUCUUGAUAGACCAUUAGUGAGGUUUCUCGAGCUCUCUGAGAAGUUGACGUGAAGGCUUUCUUCAUGGGUCUGAUCUUGGGGACUUCCCGAGAAGUUAUUCCACAAUGACUCACAGAGGGUUUUGAGGUCCUUCUUCAGGUGUCUAGUUGCUCGGAUAUGAAUGGUUCCUUCGCAGGGUAAUACUUUCCCAAGGAAUCCUUAGGAAAUAUGCCAUGUAUAUGAAUGGUUCCUUCGCAGGGUAAUACUUUCCCGAGGAAUCCUUAGGAAAUAUGCCAUGUAUGUGGUCACCUGUCAGGAAUUGUUGGAUGGUAGGGCGAAAAUGGUCUGAAACAUUUGCCCCCCAAGUCUCUGGCAUAUUUUGUGCGGUUGAGACUUCUCACCAAUAGACACGUGGCAAAAAAUUACUCGAGCCCCUAGUUGGCAAACUUGUGUUCGUGUAACGCCCUGGUUACCCCAGAAUAGUUACGGUGAACGGUGAACCGGAAAUUUGACUUGCUACCCGAGUCCUUUGGUUAAAACGUGCAUCUAAGUGUUAUUAACAGGCUAAGGUGAAAAACCAAUAAAAAGGAAAGGAUAUAUUUUACUAAAUAUAUAAAACUGUUCAUGGGCCCAUAAAAUCUUUUACAAGUUAUUCACAACAUAAAAUGGUCAUUACUAUUUCAAAUUUACAAACCCAUCGACCUAAGCGGCAAAAAUAGGGUAAACCCUUAGUUCCUCUGAGUACUCCUUGGCCGUGGUGGUCAAGCAGCCGCAUAUGUACACAUCACCACCUAAGCUCUCCACUCAAGGGUGGGUGAGCUUUUCUUUCCCUUUACCUGCACCACAUAGCACCCAUGAGCCAAGGCCCAGCAAGAAAACACAAUAUAGCAUGAUAUAAUAUCAACAAUGAUCAUAAUAAUCAUUCAGGACUUUCAGUCCAAAACAGACAAGUGACAGUCGCAAAAGUCACCAAGAUGGGAACAACUCCCUUUAGUCAUGUGACGAUAGGGUCACCGGGGCUUAAUAGAUAAGUGAACCUUUCACUAGCUUAAACAGGAUAGGUGCAUGGUGACUAGUCACCAACAUAACCUUCCUAAUGACCAUAGAGUCAUAACCCUGAAACAUCGUUCCCUAGCCAUGUGACAAACAGUCACCUAGGCCUUAGGCCUUGGCUCUGAGUAACUAGCUUAGGCUAGUCAAGUGCUUAUAAGUUUCAUCGACCUUAGGAUCGGUCCAGCAUUAAUGCCAUAGAGUCAUUCAAAGCUGAUAUCGAUUAGAUCUAAUCUUCAUUCGGCCCUGCGUUCAGGACGCUUAUGCCGUUUCUGACUCUUAGGUCAGUGUCCUUGACUAGUCAGUGCCAUAUACAAGUAAACAAUAUUCACUAGCAUUUAAUAUGCAAUCAAUGUCCACAUUUAUCAACCAACAUGCCUCAACAACAAUCAUGCAUGUCAUAUACACAAGGUGCAGUUUUCUUACCUCAGGUUCGAGCGAGAAGUAUUAUAAGAACGACUCCGGAGAACGAUCAACUUUUUGGUUCCUUAACGGUUACCUAAUCACAACCAAUUAUAACCUCCAUUAAUGAAAAUCAACAAUGAAAGGGUCUUAACCUAAACCCCACUCUCGGGACCUCGAAACAUGCCCAUACGGUGAGUAGAUUCGAUCCCGGGCCUUAAGGAUUGAAACCCCGAGCCAAAAACACUCAAAACAGGAUUCUGAAGGAACAGAGUAGCACUACAGCGUUGCUCCCUAGCGCUAUUCUCAGAACCCCCAAAAUUCCCAAAAGAAUCAUGUGUAGCGCUAUAGCGCCCUAGGAUGGGCGCUGUAGCGCUACACCCAGACCAGCACUCCCCUGAAACUUUCUUCUUCGACUCCUUCGAUUCCAACCUGUUUCCAAUGCUUCCAAAUCCCAUUUUUGGUGCCAAAUGAACCCAAAAACGAUCCUAACAUACCCCAAGCAUCACAAUCAUAAGAACCCUAGCCAAAUGUCCCAACAAAACCAAGUAUUUAACCUAGAAAUCACAACAGAAAACUAGAACCAAAACAGGGCAAACCAGAGAAUUCAAUGGCUAGAAACUUACCCCAAGCUCAGCUUGUGAUGCUCUUUAAUGGUGGAACACUCUCCCAAACUUCCAAGCUUGAAUCCUCAAGAAUGGUUCAAAAAUCACAAAGGAAACUGAAGGAGAAAAGGUACGGGAAGGUUCUUGAAGAUGCUCUGUUUUUUCUACUGCUAUUACAGCCUAAAAUGGUUUAUAUCAAUCCUAGGGUUGAAAAGACCAUUAUACCCCUAGGUCAAUUAAAGGUUUCUAAAGGCUCCCAAGGGAAAAAUUGGUAUUCCCCACCUUUCUCGUUAAUCAUAAUUAACGCUCUACAAUUCUCGCUAUUCUCGAUAAUCUCAAACACCAAUAAUUUAUAUCCCGUCACCCUUUAAUUCCCGGUAAUGCUCUAAUCAUUAAAAUCACCCCGAGACUCAUCCCGAGCCCCGAACUUAAACCUGUUAUGGCUAGACCGCUAAUUAAUAUUCCAUGACCGUCUCAUGCCGAAUAGAUCGAACAAACCCACAUUAUAAUGCAGUCUCAUCAAUAUGUCACCGACAUGCAUACAAAUAUACAAUUAUGCCAUCAACAGGCUAAAUUACCAAAACACCCCUGUAAUUACAAUGUGGACCCACAUGCAUUCAUUUAACAUCAUAUUAUAAUAUAAUUCACAUAUACAUACAUAUUAUCAGUUAAUGACAUAAUUAAACAAUUAUGGCCCUCCUGGCCUACUAAUCCCGCCAUUAAACCGCAUUAGGGAUUCCGGGGCAUUACAGUUCGGCUGGACAACUAUCAAACAUUAAGGCUGCUUUGGGACUUGUGUUGGGGUCAAGGCAGUGCAUGUGUUGAAUCCCUAGUGGUGGGACCUCUAUGAUUGGAUUAAAUGCUAAGACACGUGCUGCAAUCAGAGUGGUUAAACAUCUACAAUUGUAUUAAAUGCAUGGGGCACAUGUCGUGUCUUGACUAGUCGGGACUCUGGGAAUUCCCCUACUUGUUUGACUUGAGAAGUAGUUUGUCAACUCAACGAGCGUCUCAAGAUGGUACUUCCCUAGAUGGGUUGUCAGAUGGUAAUAGAGUCCCUCUGACCCUAAUCCCACAAUUGUUCUCUCUUUUCUUUCACUAGAACCUUUUUUUCCAUUUUCAUUUUCUUGAGUUGUAGAUCCAUCUCCUCAUCAAACCUGCUAGCUCACUCAUUGUUUUCCCUAGAGCCAAUCAACCACCCCAACAGUUCGGUGAGGAUACUCAAUGUCGAAAGGUGUCGAUUUAUUUGAGUGAGGACUACUUGUAAAGACCCAACUAAUAUAAAGACCUCGUACCUUUAGAACUACUAAGACCUAACUUCUAUCGUUUGGAUAUAUAUAUAUAUAUAUGUAAAAUAAUCAAACUUUAUUAUUAAUACUUAGAAAGUCCAAAAAUACGGGAUCCCAUUGUUCGUACAUAAAAUAAUAAAGGAAGCAAAAUAUUUAAUAAAAAUUUAAAUAUUUCAAAGUACUAAGUGCAGAAACUUUAAAGACAUAAUUCAAAAGACUAAAAAGUAACAUCACCCUCGAUCGAUCCCAUCAGUUCAUUUCUUUAGUUCCUCACCUGAAACACAAGCCAAAUCUGCCUCGGAUCUGUCCCACAUUCCAUGUUCAUUUUAUAGCACAAUCUAAAUAAAAAGGAGCGGGCCUAAUGCCCAGUAAGGAAAAACUACUAAAACAUAAAACAUAAUAUAGACUUCAAUAUUAAUGGUUAUUAACUCAUUAUCGUAGUAUGUGAUAAAAACCGCUAUAGUCCUCUUAUUUUAACUAUUAUUUUAGAGGUAGGUUUAGACACAACUAUAGUCUACGAUAACAAUAAAAAUCUCAGGAUUUUCUGUCUAAGCAACCGUAUUUCCCGAGUGAAUAAAGACAUAAAAUAACACAUACAAACACAUAACACAGAAAAUAUAACUUAUUUUCCUUACCAAAAUUGAGAUAUUGGAAACAAGUGCGAGAUUGGAAACUCAUAAAAUCAAACAUUAAAAACCAUAAGUUUCCUAGACAAAAGAAGAUGAAGAGAAGAUCUAAACCAUCAACAUAAAGACUUACCGAAAAUCUUAAGUUUCAAAGAAAUCGAGUACCUAACAAAAAUUCAUUAUGACGAGUUAGGAUUUGGAUUAAAAGUAUAAGAAUAAGAAGAAUAGAAAUAGACUAGAUGUAAUGCACUACUUUCUUAGAGUCGUUACCAUGUAAUUUUAAAAUGUGCCAUGAGCUCGCUAAUCGAGGUUUUCAGUUACAAAGUGUGAUUAAAAUUGAAAUAAAAACUCAUUUGGCAACAUUGGAUAUAAAGAUUUGGACAUUCAUUAAAAUCAUAAAAGUUAUACAUUUGGGAUCCCAAAAUACUGUUUAGAAAAUGUAUUACAACUCAAAAAUAUAAUUACGUUUGACCUAAGCGACAAAGCAAACCAUUACAAUACUUUCCCCAAAAUAACCCUGGUCGUGGCAGCUAGGUAGGCUGAACAUGUACCCGUCGCUCCAUGCUCUCUGACUCAUGGUUGGUCGACCUUUCCUUUGCCCUUACCUACACCAUAGAGCACCCUGAGCUAAAGCCCAACAAGAAAACUCAACUCAUAUAACAUAUCACAUAUCAAUCCAACAGUAUACCACAAAACAGUCAACAGACUAAACACAUAGUGGCCUACGCCGACCCAGGCACUUUAGCAGGCCUUGGGUUCGUAGUCUUCACCGAGCGGGUGGAUACAACACCCUUGGAUGGUCUCGCCCUAGCGGCCUGCACUCAACGUGCUUAACGCUGAUCCCGACCCCUUGUCCUACCUGACCUUCGCCGUUCUCGGCCUUCGUUGUUCAUUCAUUAACAUGCAUAACACGUCAUAUCAUUCACAGAUAUACACACAUAUGUUAAACACAACCAAUAGGGCCAUGUUCUGAAACACAAACAAUAGGGACAUGCCCUGCUCUACAGGCACAAAUACUUUUCUUACCUGUGUCCCGAGAUGAUUGAGUAUCGCAAUCCCGAGCACGAACCCCUAACCUGAGCUUUGGCAUAAACCUAUUCACAAUGCACCCAUAAUAUAAAUCUAUCAAUCCCUAAACCAAAUAAUAAUUUUAGAUUACUAUACUAGACUCCGGGACCUCGAAUUCUACUAAACCGGGUAGCAGAAUCCUUCCCGAGCCUUAACAUUUGGGUUCUCGAGCAUUGCACCGCUAUGCCCCCAAUAAGAGUCGCGACCCUCUCUAAGUCAGAGAGCCACGCUUGAAUUUCCUGGACAUGCGCCGUGGCGUGCCCUACCCAAAUGCCGCGGUGCUAAGGGGAUUCAGUGAACCCCCCCAAAGCCCCUGAGUUCAUGCGGGCCGCGGCGCUCAAGAACAGCGUCGCGAUGCGUCCCCGUAAACUUAUAAUUUCCUCCAUUUUCAAAUUUUUAAACCUCCUGCAAAACGAUCCAAACAGAUUCUAAUGCCCGAAUUGAGACCAAAAACACUUACACUAUACUCAGAACAACACAUAAACUCAAAUAAACUAAACAAAACCUCAUUAUAACCCAAGUUCAAUCACCUAAGUUUCAAACCCCAAAGCCCUAACAAAAAAUAGAGAAAUUCAUAAAAAGCUUGUUCUAAUCCUUACCUUUGUAAUGGAUUCGACCCUGAGCCACUUCCCAGCACUUCUAGCUUCAUUCCUCAACAAAUUCUAGCCUUGAAUCCUUAAUUUCUGGACAAUUCUUUUCAAAACUCUCAAAAUCCUUCAAAAGGCCAAGAGAGAGAGAGAGAGGGAAACAUGAAGGAGAAAGAGAGAGCUGGGUGAUUACUUGGUUCUGGGUAGUUCUAGGUUACCUAAGGUUAGCCUACUCACCAAAAGACCAACAUGACCCUAGAUACAUGCCUAGUCCUUCUAACCCACCAAGGGCAACUCUAUCAAUCGCACCAUUCCCGCUAAUUCCUCGAAUACUCCUAUGAAUCCCCAUUUAAUCCCCAAGACUCUUAAACCAACAUUAAAUCAUUACCCGUUACCUGGUAAAUCCCGAACACAUACUAUAUCCCCAAAAUACCCCUAGGCUCCUCCCGAUCUAGGAAUUCAACCCCGUUGUGACUAUUUAGCUAUUCUGCUCCCUAAGACCGUCUCAGAUCGCACAUAACAAAUAUAUCAUCUCAAUCUCGUGGUAUCAAUCACAACACACAUAUAUAUUGCAUUUAUGCCCUCAACGGGCUAAAAUUAUAAAUAUGCCCCUAAUUUCCAAAUUGGGCCCACAUGCAUAUUUAAUUCACCCAAACAUGCAUUUCUAAUCACAUAAUAACAUAAUUAAAUCAAUUAUUGCCCUCUUGGCAUGAUAAUCAAGGUCCUAAGCCUUAUUAGCAAAAUUGGGACGCUACAACUAUGCCCUCCUUGCUGAAAUUUUGUCCUUGAAAUUUACCUGAAUAACUCGGGAUAUCGAUCCCGCAUAUCAGACUCAAACUCCCAAGUUGCCUCUUCCACUUUGUUGUUCCUCCACAUCACUUUCACUGUGGCAAUGGUCUUGUUCCACAAGACUUUAUCUUUUUGAUCUAGAAUCUGAACUGACUUCUCCUCAUAAGAUAAAUCUUGAUCUAGCUUCAAGUUCUUGUAACUCAGCACGUGUGUAGAAUCUGAUACAUACUUCCGGAGCAUGGAUACAUGAAACACAUUGUGAACCCUUGAUAGAGAUGGAGGCAUCGCUAAUCUGUAGGCUACAUCUCCAAGCCGUUCUAGAAUCUCAAAGGGGCCAAAAAUCUAGGGCUCAACUUACCCCUCACCCCAAAUCAUUUCACCCCUCUCAAGGGAGAAACUCCGAGAAACACGUGAUUGUCGACUGGAAACUCUAUGCUCCAGCGUCUCAAGUUUGAAUAACUCUUCUGCCGACUCUUGGAGGCGAGCAUUCGAGCUCUAAUCUUCUUAAUCGCCUCAUUGUUCCUCUGAACAACCUCAGGACCUAAAUACUUCCUCUCACCUGUCUCAUCCCAAUGGAUGGGUGAUAUGCACUUGUUCCCAUAUAACAUAUCAUACAGAGCCACUCUGAUAGUUGCUUGAUAACUUUUAUUGUAUGCAAACUCAAUCAUAGGGAGAUACUUACUCCAAGAUCCCCCAAAGUCCAGUAUCCAGACUCAUAACAUAUUAUCCAGUAUCUGAAUCAUCUAGACUAUCCAUCCAUCUGAGGAUGAUAAGCAGUACUAAACCGUAAUUGUGUGCCCAUAGCCUUCUAUAGGCUCUCCCAAAACAUGGAGGUGAAGGUAGGGUCCAUAUCGGAUACUAUCGACCUCGGAGCCCCAUGUAGUCACAUAAUUUCCUUCACAUACAAUUCAACAUACUAGUCCACUAUAUAAGUGGUCCUAACAGGCAAAAACAGGGCUGAUUUGGUGUACCUAUCCACAAUCACCCACACCAAAUCAUACUGUCCCACAGUCUUCGAUAAUCCAACCACGAAGUCCAUGGUGAUAUCCUCCCACUUCCACUCCAAAAUCCCAAGGCUGCAGCAAUGCUGCUUGCCUUUGAUGUUCAGCCUUUACAUGCUGACAAGUUAAACACUUGGCCACAUAAUCCACCACAUCCCUCUUCAUUCCCGGCCACAAAUACCAGGUUGUCAAAUCUUGGUACAUCUUUGUCGUACCCGGAUGUAAGGAAUAAGGAGUGGUAUGAUACUCAUCUAAAAUCUCUUGCUGGAUACUGAAAUCCAUCAGAACACAAAUUCGACCUUUAUACCUCAGUAAACCCACCUUUGAAAUAAAAAAGUCCUUAGCUGCUCCGGCUAAGAUGUCCUCUGUGUAUUCCCUCAACUGGAGAUCCUCCCCCAUAUGCUUCCUUGAUCCUCUCAAGUAGCGUAGACUAAAGAGUGAUAUUGGCUACCUGACCUACUACCAAUUCAAUUCCUGCUCUGGUCAUCUCCUCAGCUAACCUACCUGAUAUUUGCCUUGAAUUGAAUAACUGUCUUGGGCCCUUCCGACUCAGCGCGUUAGCAACCACAUUUGCCUUCCCAGGAUGGUAUAGAAUGCCGCAGUCAUAAUCCUUUACCAAUUUCAGCCAAUGCCUCUGGUGCAUAUUUAGAUCAUUCUGAGUAAAGAUACUUUAGACUCUUAUGGUCAUUGUAUAUUUCACACUUCUCACCAUACAAAUAAUGCCUCCAAACCUUUAGUACAAAUACCACUGCUGCCAAUUCCAGAUCAUGAGUGGGAUACCUCUGCUCAUACUCCUUCAUCUGUCUCGAUGCGUAAGCUAUCACCUUCUCGAAUUUCAUCAAUACACACCCCAAACCCUGCUUGGAAGCAUCGCAAUAGACUACAAAUUUCUCAUUGUUUGACAACAGACUCAAUACUGGAGCGAUGAUCAGUCGCCGCUUAAACUCCUUGAAGUUGUUCUCACAUCCGUCUGUCUAUACAUACUUGAUCUUCUUACAUGUCAGUUCAUUCAAUGGUGUAGCUAUUAUGAAGAAUCCCUCAAUGAACGGCUGAUGGUACCCUACUAAUCCCAAGAAACUCCUAACCUCUGGUACACUGCUGGCCUGGGCCAAAUACUCACUGCCUCAAUCUUGUUUGGGUCCACAAAAAUCCCCUCCUUGCUGACAAUAUGCCCUAGAAAUGUUACUUGGGGUAACCAAAACUUACACUUGCUGAACUUAGCAUAUAACCUAUGCUCUCUUAACCACUGUAGUACCAGGCGAAGAUGUUGCUUGUGCUCUGGCUUUGACUGAGAGUACACCAGUAUAUCAUCAAUGAAUAUGAUCACAAACUUGUCCAAAUAAUCCCUAAAGACCCUAUUCACCAAGUCCAUAAAGGUUGCUGGAGCAUUGGUUAAUCGAAAGGAUAUGACCAGGAUUUCAUAAUGUCCCUACCUCAUGCGGAAUGCGGUCUUUGGUAUGUUCUCCUCUAAAAUCUUUAACUGGUGGUAGCCGGAACGAAGGUCCAUCUUAGAGAAUAAUGUCUUCCCCUGUAGUUGGUCAAACAAGUUGUCGAUCCUAGGAAGUGGGUACUUGCUAUUAAUGGUCAAUUUAUUCAACUCCCUGUAGUUGAUGAACAUCCUUAAGGGUCCAUCCUUCUUCUUGACAAAUAACACUAGAGCACUCCAUGGAGAAAAUCUAGGUCUAAUAAACCCUAAAUCAAGUAACUCCGGCAACUGAAUCUUCAGUUCCUUCAACUCUGUCGGAGCCAUUCUAUAAGGUGUCCUAGAUACUGGCUCCGCCCCUGACGCCAAUUCUAUGACAAACUUGAUCUCUCGGUGUGGUAGCAACCCUGGCAAAUCUGCUGGGAACACAUCAGAAACUCACAUACUAAUCUAGUCUCAUCCGGUCCAACCAAAACAACCCUAGAGGUAUCCACAAUGUUUGCUAGGAAUCCUAUGCAACCCUCUGGCAUUAGGUCUCUAACCUUCAGUGCCGAAAUCAUAGGUACUCACGGUCCAAUCACUAUUCCCACAAAUACAAAGGGUACCUCCCCUUCUUGUUCAAAGGUCACCAUCCUGCGCUUAUAGUCAAUCGUCGUCCCGUACUUUGAUAACCAAUCCAUCCCUAGGAUCAUAUUAAAGUCAUCCAUCACUAGCUCAAUCAGAUAACUCCCUACUGUCUAUCUCUAUUGGCAAUGCUCUAACCCAUCUCCUUGAGACUACCAGUUCUCUAGUUGGCAACAAGGUCCUGAAUCCCCUAGCAUACAAAUCACUAAGUCUACACAACAGAUCUAUCACUCUAGCAGAUACAAAUGAAUGGGUAGCCUCUGAGUCAAUCAAUGCAAUAAAGGAAGAACUGACACUAGAAAUCUGACCUGUCACGACUGAGGGGCUAGACUCAGCCUCAGUCUGAGUUAAGGUAAAUACUCUGGCAUGAGUGAGGCUGUCACUCUGCUUCAGUUCUUCUUUUUGGCUUGUGGGCAGUCCUUCCUCAGAUGACUAAUGCUCGCAUAAGUAAAGCAGGCCCUGAGGACACACUAGGAAUCUCCUCCAGUUGUCCCCCCCCCCCCCCCCCCGCCCUGACGACCACUGAAAGCACCCUGUGGCCUCCUAUCUGAGCCAUGAGGAACAAAAGAAUCUGGGGCCUUUCUCUUCUGCUCAUUGGGGCCACUACCCCAGCUAGAUCCAUUAAAAGGAGGCACCAUCCUGCAUGCAUCGCGCUUAGUGGUGCCCUCUCUACAUAUCUGGUCCUCAGUCCCCUCAGUAGUAAGGGCAUUCUCCGCUACCUGUGCAUAGGUGGUAGUUCUUGAAUCCAAUGUUAUCUUGAUGUCACAUGCUAUCACGAUGUUCAAUCCUUGCACAAACCGAUCCUUGCAUACCAUAUCAGUAGGCACCAUGUCCAGCGCGAAUUUCGCUAACUGGUCAAACUUUAAAUCAUACUCUAUAACUGUCAUCAGGUUUUGAGUCAGAUUAACGAACUCGUCCACCUUUGCAGCUCGGACUGCAACAUUGUAAUAUAUCUCAUUGAAUAUGUUUCUAAAUUCUUCCCAAGUCAUAACUAUCACAUCCCUUCUCUGAAACACAACAACCCACUAGAUGCGGAGUCUUCUCACAACAUAUCGCUAACGCAGGCCACUCUCUCAUUCCCUUCAACCCUCAUGAAAUCCAGGAUGGAAGAAAUCAUUUUCAUCCACUACUCUGCCCAUUGUGGGUCUGGACCACCCUCAAAGGUGGGAGGAUGUUGCUUCCUGAAACUCUCGUACAAGGUUUCCCACCUAUUUUCCAUCGCAGGCUGGGUUGGCACUGGUGCCACAGUCUGUGGAACGUGUAACUCAGUAUCCCGAGGAAGGGCUUGUUGCCUCAACUCCCGGAGCUCAUCUUUCGUUCGUUGAAGUCUGGCUUCCAUUUUGGCAUACAUUUGUUUCCAGUUCAGUGGGGCAGGUGGAGGGUCCUGACCCUCGUUGUCAUCUUUGGACCUAUUUUCGUGGAGUCUCAUCGAUCACUGAGGCAUAACUGCAAUAUGCCUACCAACAAUGACGUCGCACAUUAGGCAUGAUAAAAACAUCCAAAGCCACCUCCCAAUCUCAUCAAUCUGCCACAGUCAACAAAUCAACAUAUCGCACAUAGCAUAUAACAGUCAAGAGGGCCAUGCCUUAGCAUCAUGCAUAUAUCAACACAUUAAUCAUGUUUUAUCUAUACAUUUAGGAAAACAGGGAAACUUAAACAAGUAGUUAAGCAUAUAGUUCAUUAAAUACCGACCAACCCUGAGACGAGCUUGACACUGGCAGCGAGCGUACAUGUUCGGUCGAUCUUUAGGAACCAUAAACCUUGGUACGCUCUAAUACCAAAUUCUAACGACCUACUUCCUUAGAGCCAUUACCAUGUGAUUUGUAAAUGUGCCAUUAGCUCGCUAAUCGAGGUUUUAGGUUAAAAAGUGUGAUUAAAGUUGAAAUAAAAAUUUAUUUGGCAACAUUGGAUAUAAAGAUUUAGUCAUUCAUUAGAAUCAUAAAAAAUGUAGAUUUGGGAUCCCAAAAUAUUGUUUAGAAAAUGUAUUACAACUCAAAAAUAUAAUUAUGGUGGACCUAAGCGACAAAGCAAAUCAUUACAAUACUUUUCCCAAAAUAACCCAAGUCGUGGUAGCCAGGUAGGCCGAACAUGUACCCGUCGCUCAACGCUCUCCAACUGCGUGAACCGAAGCCCAGCAAGAAAACUCAACGCAUAUAACAUAUAAAAUCUCAAUCCAAUAGUAUACCGCAAAACAGUCAACAGGCUAAACACAUAGUGGCCUACGCCGACCCAGGUUCACUGUCUUCAUUGAGCGGGUGGAUGGUCUCGCCCUAGCGGUCUGCACUCAGCAUGCUUAAAACUGAUCCCGCCCCUUGUCAUACCCGACCUUCACCGUUCAUUCAUUAACAUGCAUAACGCAACAUAACAUUCACAUAUAUACACACAUGUAUUAAACACAACCAAUAGGGCCAUGCCUUGAAACACAAACAAUAGGGUCAUGCCCUGCUCUGUGGGCACAAAUAGUUUUCUUACCUGUGUCCCGAGUUGAUUGAGUACCGCGAUCCCCAUCACGAUCCCCUAACCCGAGCUUUGAUGUAAACCUAGUCACAACACAUCAAUAAUAUCAAUCCAUCAAGCCCUAAACCAAAUAAGAACUUCAGAUUACUAUACUAGACUGUAGAAACUCGAAUUCUACUAAACCGGGUAGUAGAAUCCUUCCCGAGCCUUAACAUUUGGGUUCCCGAGCUUGGAACCCUAAAUCAGCCAAAAUUACCUAUUGGCACUGCAAUGCCCCCAAUUAGAUCCGCGACCCUCUCUAAGUUAGAGAGCCACACUUGAAUUUCCUAGAAUCGCAUUGCGGCGCACCCUACUUAGAGCCGUAGAGCUAAGGGGAUUUAGUGAACCCCUGAUAGCCACUGAGUUCAUGCGGGCCGCGGUGCGACCCCAGAAACCCAGAAUUUCCCCCCAUUUUUAGAUUUCUAAACCUCCUGCAAAACGAUCCAAACAGGUUCUAAUGCCCGAAUUGAACCCCAAAACACUACUAUACUCAGAACAUCACAUAAACUAAAAUAAACUAAAUUCAAUCUCCAAAGUUUCAAACCCCAUAACUCUAACAAAAAACAGAGAAAUUCAUAAAAAGCUUGAUCUAAUCCUUACCUCUGUAAUGAAUUUGACCCUGAGCCACUUCCUAGCACUUCUAGCUUCAAUCCUCAGCAAAUUCUAGCCUUGAAUCCUCAAUUUCUGGACAAUUCUCUUCAAAACUCUCAAAAUCCUUCCAAAGACCAAGGGAGAGAGGGAAACGUGAAGGAGAAAGAGAGAGCUGAGUGAUUACUUGGUUCUGGUUAGUUCUAGGUUACCUAAGGUUAGCCUACUCACCAAAAGACCAACAUGCCCCUAGAUACAUGCCUCGUCCUUCUAACCCACCAUUUCCGCUAAUUCCUCGAAUACUCCUAUAAAUCCCCAUUUAAUCCCCGGCAUGCUUAAACCAACAUUAAAUCACUACCUAUUACUUGGUAAAUCCCAAGCACAUAAUAUAUCCCAAAAAUACCCCUAGGCUCCUCUCGAUCCAGGAAUUCGACCCCGUUGUGACUAUUUAGCUAUUCCGCUCCCUAGGACCAUCUCUUAUCGCCCAUAACAAAUUUAUCACCACAAUCUCAUGGUAUCAAUCACAACACACAUAUAUAUUGCAUUUACGCCCUCAAUGGUCUAAAAUUACAAAUAUGCCCUUAAUUACCAAAUUGGGCCCACAUGCAUAUUUAAUUCACCUAACACAUGCAUUUCUAAUCACAUAGUCAUUUGAUUUGCAUAUUAACAUUAAUAAAUCAAUUAUUGCCCUCCCGACACGCUAAUUAACUUAUUAUAAAAUUUGGGAUGCUACACUAGAUUUGAGGAUUAAGAGUGCCGUAGAUAGCUAGAGCUUCAAUCUAUAUCUUACUUCCCAAGUGUUUAGAAAAGCUUAGAUUUGAAAGCUUUAACCCCAAAACCCUAGUGUUUUUCUCUAGAACGAAAAUAGUAGCUUGGAGGCUCUGAGAAGUGUUUAAAAAAAUUCAAAUUACCGAGUGAAGGUAUUUAUAGGAUUCACUGAGUGAAACUAUCUCCCAUUCAAAUGAAUAAAUAAAUGAAUAAAAAUGGCACUUUUCGCUCAACAAAUGCUCAAAUUUUGGUCAAAAUUGUUUAAGAACAAGUCCAAGCAGUUGAGGACUGAUUCUAGCUUCAGAUCUAUAAAAAUUCAGUCUAUAAAAAUUUCUUACUCCUAUUAAGCACUCAAAUUCAACCAAAACCAGCUAACAGAACUAAGCCUCAUGCAAACUCAAACCUUAACUUGGUUUCUAACAGAAUUCUAGAGAAACUAACAAAAAUUCUUACCUCAGGUUGUAGCCCAAUUGCACAACUUCAAUCUUUCAAUCUUUGAGCUUCAAUUCCCAAGUUUUUUCCCAGCUGAAUUCCCUAGUUUAAUGCCUCAAUUCACCAAGAAUGCCUUAAGCAUAUGAGAGAGAGAGAGAGAGAGGAAUAUGUAUAUGAGGGAGAGAGAGAGAAGCUGAGAUUCACUUAAUACUUUCUAGUGAGUUCUAGUUAGAUCUUAGUUUAGUAGAUCAUAUCCCUUAAUCAAAAUGGACCAAAAUGCCCCUGAAAUCUUCCUAACAUUUAGUUACUCUAAGGGUAAAAUAGUAUUUUCCCCCAGUUCCCGCUGAUUCCUCAAGUGUUCCUAAUAUUUACCAAUUAAUCCCGUCAUGUCCAAUUAACCCCCAGUACGUAUUCUUUAUCUAAUAACUCCCAAAAUAUUUCCCUAGAUUCCCAAAAUACCCCUAGGCUCCCCCCUGAGCCAGGUAUUAAGCCUCGUUGUGAAUAUUUCGCUAGUCUGCUCACUAGGACCGUCUCGAGCCAUAUGCUGCAAAUAUAUCCACAUAAUGAUGUGAUCUUAAUCAUAAAUCACAUAAAAUCACAUUUAUGCCCUCAACGGGCCAAAAUUACAAAUAUGCCCUUAUAAGCUAUAAAAGCCCACAUGCAUAUCUAAUACUCAUAAACAUGCAUAUAAUAUAUCCAUAUAAUCAUAUUAAUCAUGCUUGCCACGUAGUCACGCAUUAAACCAAUUAUGCCCUCCCGACACACUAAUCAAGGCCCUAAGCCGUAUUAGCGAUUUGUGGGUCGUUACACAAUAACUCGAAAGGACCUAUGUACUGGGAACUGAGUUUUCCUUUCUUCCUAAACCACUUCACUCCUUUCAUUGGAGAUAUCCUUAAGAAGACUUUAUCUCUGACCUUGAAUUCCACAUCCCGUCGCUUGGCAUCUGCGUAACUCUUUUUUUGACUCUGAGCAGCGAGCAUAUACUUUCUCAUUAGCUCCACUGCAUCUUGAGCCUCUCUAACACCCUCGGGUCCAAGCAGUUGUCUUUCUCCUACCUCAUCCUAAUGUAAUGACGACCAACAUUUCCUUCUAUAAAGUAGUUCAUAGGGCGCCAUACCAAUUAUUUCUUGGUAGCUGUUAUUGUAGGAGAAUUCUGUAAGUCGCAAAUAUUUACUCCAUGAUCUUCCGAAGUCAUGUGCACAAGCGCGCAACAUAUCUUCUAAAAUUUGUAUGGUACGCUCAAACUAUCCAUCGAUAUGAGGAUGAAAUGCCGAAAUGAGACUUAGCUUGGUACCCAUGGAUUGUUGCAAGCUCCCCCAAAUCUCGAUGUGAACACCGAACCUCUAUUGGAAACUAUGGUCUUAGGGAUUCCAUGCAGUCGUACAAUUUCUUGAACAUAGAUGUCUACGUACUGAUACGCAAUGUAUGUAGUCUUGACUUGCGAUGCCUCAUGUUGAGCUCCUUUUGUGUGAAAAAAUAUUUUAAGCUUUUGUGAUCCGUAUAAAUCUCACAUCGUUCUCCAUAUAAAUAGUGGCGCUAGAUUUUUCAGUGUGAAGGCCAUUGCUGCUAACUCCAUAUCAUUUGUUGGAUAGUGUUUCUCAUAUUCCUUCAGCUGUCUUGAGGCAUAGGCUAUUACCUUGUCAUUUUUCAUUAGCAUGCAGCCCAACCCUUGCUUGGAUGCAUCACAGAAUACUACAAACUUGUCAUUGGGUGUCGGUACGCAAAGCACUGGUGUUGAACACAAUUUUUCUUUAAGCAACUGGAAGCUUUCUUGACAUUUAUUUGUACAAUUGUACUUUUGUUAUUUCCGGGUCAGGUUGGUAAGUAGAGUGGCUAUCUUAGAAAAGCCUUCCAAAAACCUCUAGUAAUAGUCUGCCAGCCCGUGAAAAAUUCUAACCUCUGACGCAUUCUUAGGUCUUGGACAAUCCUUCGCAGCCUCUACCUUAGUUGGGUCCACUGCGACUCCAUCCUUGGAUACUAUGUGCUCGAGAAACGCCACUUGUUAUAGCCAAAAUUCACAUUUCUUGAACUUGGCGUAAAGUUGGCGCUCCUUUAGUCGCAGCAUGGUCAGUCUUAAGUGUUCCUCGUGCUCGACUUUGUCCUUGGAGUACACAAAUAUAUCGUCAAUGAAUACCACAACAAAUUUUUCUAGGUAAUCCUUGAAGACCUGGUUCAUUGAGUUCAUAAAUGUGGCUGGAGUGUUGGUAAGACCAAAAGACAUAACUAGGAACUUGUAAUGUCUGUAUCGAGUCCUAAAAGCUGUCUUUGGUAUAUCUUCUUCCCUUACCUUGAGCUGGUGAUUACCGGACUGUAGAUCAAUCUUUGAAAAUACAGUCACUCCUCGGAGUUGAUCAAAUAAGUCAUCAAUCUGGGGUAGCAGGUACUUGUUCUUAGUUUUCACCUUGUUCAACUCAUGGUUAUCGAUACACAUCUGCAUGCUUCCAUCCUUCUUCUUCACAAAUAGAAUUGGUGCCCCCCAUGGCGAAUGGCUUGGUCUGAUGAAUCCCAAGUCUAAGAGCUCUUGUAAAUGCGUUUUCAACUUCUUGAGUUCAGUAGGUGCCAUCCGGUAUGGUGCCUUUGAGUCUGGCUCUGUUCCCGAUACUAGUUCAAUUGUGAAGUCAAUUUCCCAAUUAGGGGGUAGCCCUGGUAUGAGCCCUCUAGAAAACUUGGUUACCCACAAGUAGUCAUUCGAGGCUAACUCUGGUGUGAACUUUGCUAGCGGAUCAAAUUGUCAGGCAUACUCGACUAUCGACAAAUUUCCCUAUUUCAGGCUGAAAAAUUCUUCCUCCCUUGUAGCGAUGACUGCCAAAUUGUAGUACUUCUUAUGAAACAACUCCACAAAUCUGGCCCAGGUCAUGGUGGUGAUAUUGUGACACUGAUGCACUAGAUCCCACUAGAUUCUAGCAUCCUUUUUAAGUAAAGAUGAAACCCAGGAUAUGGGAUCCGCGUUGCCGAGGUUCAUGUUCAUCAGAAUCGAUUCUACAUUCCUGAGCCAAUCCUCAAUCUCAAAGGGGUCGGUUGUCCCUUCAAAAUUUGGAGUGUGCUACUUUCAUAAAUGCUCGUAGACUGGUUCCAUGUACUGGGCUAGAUAGGGUGAAAAUUUUUCCAUUGUCCAUCCCCCGUACGAGUAUCCUCCAUUCGGAUAGCCAUCAUUUUGGUAUAAUUCGUUCUGCUCUGGCUGGGGUGCUUGAGUCGUUGGCUGAGGCUGCAGCUGAGGUUGUUGUGUUGCUGGUGUAGUUCUUCAACUUGUCAUCGUAACUAGAUAACUUCAAUGUCAUUGUCAAAUAGAGGUGGUGCGUUCCUAGUAGCAGCAGUAGUGGCAGCAGGUCCUCCCCUUCUUCGGACUAGAGGGGUCUUGAGUGUCUUUUUGGUGGUGGCAUUGCCAUUAGUGCAUGCAGACCUUUGGAGCGACAUCUUUGGCAGAGUUCUAACAAUAAAGAGAAACAAGUUAGAACUUACCCUAAUAGUUUCUAAGGCAAAAUCUUAGUCUAAGCAAACAUAACUCGGACCUACCAUUUAUAAUUUCUUAUGAAAAAUUAUGUAAGUCAUCUUUAUAAAUUUGGGUGUGUUUCUUUACUUAGACUAUUAUGCCAUCUUUAUUACUUUUUCUAAGUCUAUUUCAAACCACCCUAUAUCGAAACUUGUCGUUGUUUCGAAGUUAACCAUACUGAGGGAGGGCUGAGAUCAGUACAAUUGUUCCCACCACUAUGGCCCCCUAAACUCUCAAUACAGAACUUGGUCCAUUGAUUUGUAACCCACCAAACUCAGUCAUUAUUUAUUGAAUUAUUCUAAAUUAAUUAUGAUUUCCAAAAAAAAAAUUCAAAUUUCGUACAUACCAUUCAAAAAUAAUAAUAACUUUAUUCAUUUGGAAAAAAUUCACUUAGUACAAUAAUAAUUCAAAAUAAUGACAGAAAUAAUACUAAUAAUAAUUCAAGUAAAUUUUUUGAAAAAUUAGGAUCUUCUACAUCUGAUCCUUCAUCUAAAAUAUCAUUAGUUAAUUCCUCAUAAUCAUCAUUAUCAUAAGCCUCGAAUCUACUACAGGAAAUAUUCAUUAGGAUAUUAUUCUUUUGUUCAUUGGUGAAUUAAAUUUCAACUAUAUAGGUAAACCUAAGUAUAAGAAAAUAAUAUCCAAUGGCUAUCAGUAAGUUGUCCUCAUUAUCUAGAGCUUCCCAUAAUUCUUUCAAUUUUGAAACUACAAAAGGCAUAUCUCUGAAAAGUCUAAAUACUAGGACAUAUUGAUCCAUGGCUCUCAUCAUAAUUUGCCUAGUGAUUUGAAGGUGAGAUAUCUCUCGAGUGAUUCGUUCUAGCACAUUUAUUGUAUCCUUUGGCUCUCUAAUCCAUUUCAAUGCCUUAAUGGCAUUGAUAUCGUGAUAAGUCAUAUAUUAACUAAAACAUUAGUUUUAACAUAAGCAUACUAUUCAUAACAUAAAUACUUACAUUGACGGUUAGACCUGGAGCUUUUGUGUGUGUAUCAAGGAGAACUUUAUGCAUAUAAACGAGAUCCCAUUGUUCAUUAAAAAAAAUAAAGGAAACAAAAUCUUUAAUUAAAAUUUAAAUAUUUCAAAGUACUAAGUACGAAAACUUUAAAGACAUAAUUCAUAAGACUCAAAAUAACAACGUCAUCCUCAAUCGAUCCCAUCAGUUCAUUUCUUUAGUUCCUCGCCCGAUACACAAGCCCAACCAUAUUUCUCGAGUGACUAAAGACAUAAAAAAAAACAUACAAACACAUAGCACAUAAAAUCUAGCUUAUUUUCGUUACCGAAAUCGAUAUAUUGGAGACAAGUGCGGGAUUGGAAACUCCUAAAAAAACAUUAAAAACCAUGAGUUUCCUAUAGAAAAGAAGAUGAAGAGAAGAUAUAAACUAUCCAAAUAAAGACUUACCGAAAAUAUUAAGUUUCAAAGAAAUUGAGUACCUAACCAAAAGUCAUUAUGACGAGUUAGGAUUUUGAUUAAAAGUCGAAGAAUAAGUAGAAUAAAAAUAGCUAGAUCUGAGGAUUAAGAGUACCUUAUAUAGUUAGAGCUUCGAUCUAUACUACAAACACCGAAAUCACACUAUAUCGUACUUUGCAAGUGUUUAGAAAAACUUAGAUUUGAAAACUUUAUCCCCAAAACCCUGGUGUUUCUCUCUAGAAUGAAAACGACAGCUUGGAUGCUCUGAGUAGUGUUUGAAAAAAAAUGCAAAUGACUUAGUGAAGGUACCUAUUUAUAGGAUUCAAGUGAAACUAACUCCCAUUAAAAUUAAUAAAUAAAUGAAUAAAAAUGGCAUUUUCUCUCAACAAAUACUUAGAACUCAGUCAAAAUCAUUUAAGAACAAGUCCAAGCAGUUGAGGACUGAUUCUAGCUUCGGAUUUCACGAAGAUUCAUAAUUGGCACGCACAACCGAUAUAUUGCCCACUAUAGGCGAUAUAUUGUCUACCCUGUUUUGUCGAGGUUCCGUGGUUUCAAUCAUACAAAGUUGACGUGUUUUUCCAUGUCAACAUAAGCGAUAUAUCGCCAUCUAUAGCUGCGAUAUAUCGCCUUACGCUUACAUAAACCACAUUUUUGCACGUUUUAAGCACACUUAAAGCUUUUUAAACCCUUUUGAUUGAUUAAUACGAGAUCCAAGCAUCUGAGGGAAGGUUCUAGACUUCCUAUGAAUAUCCUUACCUUUAUAUUUACCCAUGAUUAUUUUUAUUCAUCUAAAAUCCUUAAAUCCUUAUGUGACAAAUGUCACAUUCUUAAUUAUUCUAUUUAAAUCUUAGGUUAUAAUAAAUAAUUUUCUUAGGACCAAUUAAUAUUUCUAAACUAUAGGAUAAACUUAUAAAAUUCAUAACUAGCUCUACGAGUUUCCAAAAAAAAUCUCGACUUGGGACUAAUAUCAUGAAAAUUAAAAUGCUAUAGCUAAGUAAAAUUCUGAGACACUACACAAUCUGCUAAACUUAUUGACAUUUUUUAUCACGUAAUACUUUUCCUUUGGUUAACUCCCUCAAAGUUAUGUAUACUCUGUUUAUUUCCCAUAAGAUUGCGAUUUACACUAGGUUUAGUCCAUACACAGUACGUGAUUUCCGAGGUUAGUAAUUAUUCUAGUCAAUUCACAUAAAUCACUAUGUAUCAAAUCUAAUAAAUUAGAUUCCAUUUCAACACUUGGAAAAUGUUUCUUUACCAUCUUAGAUUUAACACAUAAUUCACACUUAUGAUGCUCAACAUCAUUGCAUACAAUUAAACCCCAUUUGAUUACUCUUUUAAUUGUACUAUAUCCUAUAUGAGUAAGCCUAUUAUGCAACAAAGUAAUAGAAUCGAAACCAAGCACAUAAGAGGAAGAUGAGCAUGCAUCAUUAUCAAAACCAUUGUCUUUGGUACACAAUAUAAUCAUCCCAUCAUACACAUACCCUUUCCCCACAAAGUAGUUGCCCUUGGAUAGAAUUAGCUUGCCAAACUCAAACUCCGCUUUGAUGCCCGAUUUACUCAACAAAUGCCCACUCACAAUAUUCCUACGCAUAUCCGGAACAUACAACACAUUGGUCAAUAAAACCUUAUUUCCAUAUGCGAAGUAAAGAUCAACAUUCCCCUUGCCCAACACUAUUGACCUUUGCUGAUUCCCCAUUUGGAUCUCAUGCUCAUCCUUUUACUCUUCAAAGGUUUUGAAGAUCUUUCUAUCAUAAGUAACUUGAAUGGUGGCACAAGUGUAAUACCACCAUCCUUGCACUUUUCUUUGGGUGACAUUCACCUCACUCAAGGUUGCAACCAACUCCUCUUUGGUUGUGUUGACCUUGGAUCCAUGGUUAUAGGGCUUUUGAUACUUGCAUUCUCUAUCCAUGUGGCCACUCUUGCCAAAAACAAAACAAGGGCCUCCCACACCCUUGAAUUGCCCUUCAUUAUUCCUUGGAGAUAGAUAAGUAUUUUUCUUUGAUUGAGGCUUCUCGUAAGUCUUCCAUUUGGAUUGAGAGGGUUUCUCUAUGGCGUUAGUCUUUGAUGUCCCAACAUUGGACUCUUCCAUGCACUUGUCUCUAGAACGAGAAUCCUCUUCAAUCCUUAAGUGCUUCAAGAUUUCUUCCAAAGAUAUAACUUCAUUCUUAUGGAGGAUCUUCUUUCUAUACCUUCUCCAAGCUGGUGGUAGUUUAGUUAUAAUCCCUCCCACAACGAAGGGUUUCAACAAUGUUAUCAGAGUAGAUAACUUAUUUACAAUAACUUGACGUUCAUGUACUUAAGGGAGUAAGGGUUUAGCAUCAAAUAAUUUCAAUUCCAUGUAUUGAGUGAUAAUGAAUUUUUUGGUACCUUCUUUUUCAUUUUUGUAUUUCUUCUCAAGAGCUUCCCAUAUUUCCUUUGCCAUUGUAGUGUUUGUGUAGAGAUUAUAGAAACGAUCCAAAAAAGCAUUGAGUAUGUGACCUCUACAAACGAGUUCAUCCUCUUCCAUUUUAUUCCUUUCUUUGAUCACAUCUUGAGAAUCAUCAUCCUUUGGGGGCUCCAAAGUCUUCAAAUGUUUGUCAAGGAUGUAGUGCACUUUCAAAGUUGUGAGGAGGAACUUGAUCUUGUCUUGCCAUCUUACAAAAUUUGAGCCAUCAAACAUAUCUACUCUUACUAGAUCUUGAGACCUGAAUUUGAGGGCUGAGACUGAAGAGCUUUCUUCCAUUGAUUUGGUUAGUAUAGAACCUUAGAGAUAGACAAACUUUGAUACAAAAGAAAGAUUAAGAGAGAGAUUUUUUAUUGUUGGAGAUUAGACUUAAUUAACCUUGUUUUGUAUAACAACUCAAAGCAUAAAACAACAAGUAAUCUAACUCUAUGUGUAGAUAAUCACAAAUUACAUAAACACAAAAGCAUCAAAGUAUAGAUUAGACCUUUCUCGAAGAACAAUCUUCAAACACAAAAUCACAAAGCUAUGAUUAUUGUGAAACACAAAGGUGAUAAGGCUUGACACAAAUGUAGAUUUGUUGUACAAAAAUCUCUAUUCCUAGCCUUCUCAUUGGAAUUGCUUGAAGCUACUACAAUGGAAUGAGAUUGGGAUUCAAAAGCCUUGAUCCUUCAUACAAGUCAAGCUUUCUUGAUGAAGAUCUUGGAGAAAAUUAGUAAUUUUGAAAGCUUGAGAGAGAGAGAGAGAGAGAGUUCUUUUUAAAGAGAGAGAGGUGAGUGAUCAAGUCACUAAUUAACUCAAAUGAUCUAUUUAAAUAGUAUAGGAACCUCAUUAGACUCAACCAAUGAGAUUAGAGCAUUUUAAUUUUAAUUUUGGAGCCAAAACAUGUCACUGUACGGAAGACCUAGGCGAUGCGUCGCCUGGCACCACGGGAUGCGUCACCUAGCACCAGACGACAUGUCGCUUGGUCUACUAAUUUUGCCUGUGCGAGGCGUCGCCUUUGGGAGGCAACGCAUCGCCAACGACUCUGUUUUGACACUAAAAAAUUUGUCUAAAAACAUCCCCAAAUGCUCCCAAACUUUUUAGGUACUCUCAUGUACUCCAAACAAACACUUUGGACCCAAAGCGAUGAUUUAUAAAUGCCUAUACUGAAAGUCAACACUCACAUGUUGACUUUUGUAAAAUCAUUAAGGUUUUUUCACCUCUUCGUGCUUAACCAAUUUUACCAUAUAUUUAACCAAUCACAACAACAUAUACUAUAUAUACAAUUUGAUAUGUCUAGCAACUCUAAGUAUUAUAUGAAUAUAGAUUCAUAUAGAUAUGUCUUUAUAGACUUGUGAAGUUUAAUAUUUGACUGAUUAAUAUUUUUGGAUUCUUACAUUUUAUUAUUAGUUUUUAUAUUAAGUUUUAAAAAAUUAUGUUAGUUAACUAAGUGAUAAAAAAUUCGUCUUUUUUUUGUUGCUGAUUUUUUGGUUGAAAAUUUAAAUUUCUUUAUAGCUUAUAGAUAACUUAUUCAUUUGUUAAAUAUGUGUGCAUAACAUCUUUUGGAGAGAAAUCUUUUGUAGAACAUGGAGCUAGUUUUAUCUUUCUUAAAUCAUUAUGAACUUUCUUUUAAAUUUGUAGACUUUUAAUUUUAUUGAGGAGAAUUUUAAUAUUUACCACUGUAAUUUAUUAUAACUAUGCUUAUAUGUUAUGCUUUGCUUGCAAGCUAUACAUAUACAUUGAUGCAUGACAUGGGUACUAAAUUAAUUACGAUAUCUUUUUUUUAUAGGUUUUUUAUUGACAUUGUUCAUGAUAUAUUAUUACUGAUCUAGAAUAUUUUUUUGUUUUUAAGUAAAUUAUGAGAAAAUUAAAUUCAAUCAUUUUUUUAUAUCAAAAUUAUAGCUUAAAUUUUCUGCAACAAUCCAAUGAAACAAACCCAACCCAACCCUGAUAUCCAUUUGGAAAGUAGGGUUGGGUUGAAUAAUAAUAAAAAGGAAUGACCCAUAAUUUUUCCAAAUCGUAGUCAUUGGGUUGGCCUAUUCAAACACCUCAAAACCGGCCAACCCAGCUCGUGUGACCCCUAAUUGGAGGUUGCUAGAGGAAGCACGCUGGCAAGUCCUCAGGGGCACAUAAAAGAUUGAGGGUCAACACCACAAAUGUCCCUGCAGCUGCCUAGGCGGUGGAUUAACUGUCUCAAUUAGCGAAGCCCAUCAUCAACCAUUGGCUUGGUUCUCCUGGUGGACCCUCUUAAGGACGUGGCCAAUCCCCUUCCCCUACAAUUGGAGGAUAUCAAAAGGCUCUCUGCGACCUAAGAGGCCUAUUGCUGAGGAGUCGACACCCUCUUUGGCAGCUUCACUGAGUCACGGCCCCCUUUCUGGGCUCCCGAGUGAUCCCUCUGCUGAGUAUGGCCAAGACGAUUCAGAGGCGUCAGCCAGUGCUAUGUUCAAGGAGUUCCUCCGAGGACUUGGGGAGGAGGUCGCCCCCUCGCUACAGGACUAUCGACAAUGGUGGGUGAAAUUAUGGGGAGUAUACCUUCUCGUUGAUGGGCUCAGCUGCAAGAGCAAAAGAUCGCCCAUCUUUCUCAAAGCCAAUCGGUGACCUCCGUUCUGAUGACCCUCCUCACUAUUUAACAAAGUGAGUUUGUGAAUUGACUUAUAUGGGACACUCAAUAUCUUCAAGGGGAGCUCUAGAAUUACACUACCAUGCUGAAAAAUUCUGAAGAGGGGCAGGCAAAGUUGAAAGGGGGUGGCGUUCUUCCUCCUGACAAGGCGAAGACGUUUGCUCAGUCUCUUGCGAAGGCUGAACUUGCUCGAGAUGAAGAGAAAGCUCGUAGGAAAUCUAUCGAGAAAGAGCUGGUCAUGAAAAUUGCCAAUAAUGAGGAGAAAACUCUUCAUAAGGUUGUUGAGAAAGAGCUCGCUGAGGCUUGAGUGAAAAUAGUCGCCCUAGAGAAAGACAAAGCAGACCUGAUCCACCAUAAGAUGACUCUAAAGUCUAAGAACCACGCCCAAGUAUCCCAGGUGGUCGAGGUGAUUAAGGAGCGCUUGGCGGAGAAUACAAAAUUUCGUGAGUUGUCCAACUCGGUUGGCAUGGAUGAUAUCUUUCAAGUGUUGCUCUUCAACCCAGAACUGGACUUGAGCUAUCUUGAAGACGAUGAGGCCUACGUCUGAGCCCUUUGUGAAGAGCGUUUGAAGGCCGAGGAGGCCCAUGAAAAUAGUGUGUGAUGACUCCUGGAACUACAGGCCUAUUGGAUGUCAUUGUUCUUGCUGCUGAGCUACCCACAGGGUCCUCGGGCGCUCCUACCAAUGGUGAUGGGUAGCCCCUUCAGUAGCCUUGUUUUUUUUUAUUUUUCUAUGUGUAACUUUUGUUAGUCCUCGGGCCCUCGGAGCUCAAACUUAAUAUCAUUCGCACUCCCGAGCUCUUUGUACAUAAAUUUUAAUUUUAUCAAUGUAAUAUAUAACUCUUUUUACUUAACACAUUUAUCCCCUUUAACUUAGUCAAUUAUGCUUUAUGGUUCUUCAUACAUGUAGUUUUUGGCAUUGAGGCCUCGCAAUGCACUCAUGCCUCCAUAGUGUAAAUUGGUAUCGAUGUUCUCUGACUAUGUUUGGAUUGAUAGGCAACUUUAUGCCUGAUUUUUUAAGUAUUUCGAGUUAUUUUGGUCAUUAGGGCCCAAGACGCACUUCCAGGUUUUUCCACAUAUACCACUACGCAGUUUAAACCUAGGUUUGUAGUUUCAUGCUCAUUUUGAGAUUUUUACGUACUUAUCAGUUUGACACUAAGUCCCUGGGAUGCACUCAGGUCUUGUAGUACGAUUACUCAACUUUCCUAGCUUUAGUUCAUUCUUUUCCCAACUCUAAGGUACCUCUUUUAGGUUCCUCUUAUCCUAGUUGGCCUAACGAUUUAAAGCUAUAUUUGGAUCCGCUGCUUUUCGUGUUGACUUUUGGGUCUGAGGACACCAUAGUCGUAAGCGUGCGGUGGUCGGAGACCAUGUUCGAGAUCUUGCAUGCCUAUUGUCGACACUAAGGUUUUAAAAUACUCUAAGGUACCUCUUUAGGUUACUUUUAUUUGAGUUCUGCUUAGGUCUAGCAUUCUAGAAAUGUAGCUCUUGAGUGAUUCGAGCCCUACUUAUCUGCCCGUCAAGUGAUUAGAAAUCUUUAAUAUGUGAUCACUUGUUUAGGUUUUUGGGCGAGUCACAUGCGAUGCCAUUAUUGAUACAUAAUUAAACAAUAACUUCCUGAUAUACCUCGUAUCUUGUUUUAGGACUACAUGAUAUUAACGAAUUUUUGCUCAUAGUUCAUUGCAUAGACAAACCAAAAAAAAAAAAAGGAAAUUGCAAGUAAAAAAUAGUGCAGAUCUUUGCUAAAAUUUUCAUUAGUAAUGCCGGCGAAGGUGCUCGGCAUUCUUGUCAUGCGAUAUUAAUUCUCCGUUCAAUCUGACCAACUUAUACAUCCUAGGCCUGAUGAUUUUCUUCACCUGGUAUGGACCUUCCUCGUUGGGGCCUAGAACCCCUACUCUCGGAUCUUUGGUGGAAAGGAACACCCGCCUAAGGACGAGGUCCCCUACCGAUAACUUCCGAUCUUUUAUCCUAGAGUUAAAAUAUCGAGUGACCUUUUUUUGAUAUGAUGCGGCCUGAAGCUAUGAUAGCUUACGGUAUUCCUCAACCAGGUCGAACGACUCUUGAAGUAGCUCAAGGUUGGUUGUCGGGUCGUAGGUGGCACGUCGAUGGGUGGGGAUGGUUGCCUCAACUAGGAGCAUAGCUUUGCACCCAUAGGCCAUGUAGAACGGUGUGUGUUUAGUGGUUUUCCAAGCAAGAGUUCGAUAGGCCCAAGUACUUGGGGCAUUUCUUUGGGCCAAGCACCAUUUGCUUGUUCCAACCACUUUUUUAGGGACAUUUUGAGUGUUUUGUUCAAAGCUUCUACUUGGCGGUUUUCCUAGGGGUGUGCUACAACUGAGAAGCUCUUGUGAAUUUCGUGCUUCUCACAAAAAUCAAUGAAAAGGCUGCUAUCGAACUGUAAACCAUUGUCGAACACCAGCUUUCUCGAGAGGGCAUAUUAGUAGAUGAUGUUCUUGAUUUUAAAAUCCAGAAUUUUCUUGGACAUGAUGGUUGCAAGUAGUUCGGUCUCAACCCAUUUGGUGAAGUAUUCGACGUCUACCAUUGUGUAUCGUACACCCAUUUUCCUAUAGGUAACGACUUGACUAAGUCGAUUCCCCAAACCGCAAAGGGCCAUCUGAGUUAACUCAUUGCGAGGUGCUCAGAUUAUAUUGGCAUACCGCUGACAUUUUUUGAAUCCUUUAAUGUAGUCUAGAGAGUCUUUGUUCAUGGAUGGCCAAAAUUAACCCUGCCAUAGGAUUUUCUUGGACAAACUUUUCCCAAAGUAUAAUCAUCGCAGAACCCUUCGUGAACUUCUUACAAAAUGGCUUUGGACUCCUCAAGGAUUACACUUCUUAGAAGAUGCAUCGAGUACGACCUUCUAUAUAGCAUGUUGUACAUAAAAAUGUAGCAAGGGAUUUGGUAAUUUAGUGACAUUCUGUUUUUUUUUUCAGUUAGGAGCUCUCCGGUGGUUAUAUAUUUUAUGACUGGUCCCAUCCAUGUGUAACGUCCCAAAAUUCCUAAUAAGGCUUUGUUCCUUGAUUGACGUGUCGAGAGGGAACAUGGAGUAAAUAUGGGUUAAUUAAGUGGAUGAAUAUGUGAUUAUAUGAAUUAUAUGAGUUAUAUUAUGAUAUGAUUGUUUAUGCAUGCUUAUGUGUAUUAAAUAUGCUUAAAGGCCUGUUUUUGUUAAAAAAAGGGCCAUUUUUGUAAUUUUGACCCAUUGAGGGUAUAAUUGUAAUUAUAUGUGCUAUAUGUUUGAUACCACAUUAUUAUGUGGAUAUAUUUGAGAUAUUCGUCAAGAGUCGGUCUUUUCGAGAAAAAUAGGGGUAAAGUCACAACGGGGAUAAAUACUCGGCUCGGGGUGAGCCCAGGGGUACUUUGUAAUUUGGCAAGUUACUAGGAUUUAUUGGGUAAUUGGAAUUAAUUUUAUGAGUGUUUGGGUUUAAUGGAUUUAAUUGGGAAAUUCGUGUUGAAAUUUGAGGUUAGCGGGAAUUUUGGCAAAUGAUUAAAAUGCCCUUGAGUUGGUUACGAGGACAAGUUUGGAGUAAAGGAAAAUUGGUCAUUUGACCACACAAUUAGAGUAAGAGGCAACCCUUUGCUGAGGGUUUGGUCAUUCACGUAUACACUAGCUCUCUUUCUCUCCUUGUUUUCUUUCAAAUGGUUAAGCACACUCUAAGCUUUCAAUUGUCCAAUUCUUGAAGUUAGUGGGAUUUCUUGAGGAAAUGGGGGAUUCCCUAAAGCUAGGAGAUGUCAAGUGAUCAUUCAAGGGCUAGGAUCACAAAAUUCUUCAUCAAAGGUAUGGAUUUUUUGAGUUUUCUUGUGUUCUUCAUUAUUCUUGAAGGAUUUUGGGUUAUGGCUUAUUUUUUAAAAAAUUCUUGAGUUCUGAGUGUUUAUCUAAGAGCAAUGAUGUUAGAAAUAUGUUAAGCAAAAAAUUUGUGCACUAAAAUUAGACUGAAAAUCUGUAAGUUAAGGUUUGAUUUUUGGAUUUGGAAAGAAAAUGGAGUUUGAAGCUCAAAUUGGUGAUUUUGGGUUUUGGAGUUGUUUUGGUGGGUUUAGAGGGUAAUAUUUUGUGUAUUUGUAUUGCUUGACCAACUUGAUGGUCAAUUUUGAUUAAAAUUGGUUUUUGGAUUGGAUUUGGGAGAGCUGGGAUUUUAGGAAAUCGUUGGUUUUCUGGGUUUUUUGGGUAGCAACACGACACUUGUCAAGAGUGUCGCGACCCACGUGAACAUCUUCGAGGCUGGGGGUUCCCUUGGUGCGCCUUAGCGAUGCAGCACAAAUUGGAGGAAAAAUCUAGGUGGGCUCUCUGCCUAGUCUGGCGCUGUGACCCUUGGUGGUGGUCGCUGGGAUGCUAAUUGCAAAAAGAUUAGAAAUGAAGUUUUGGGUUAUGGGAACCCUAACCUAAGGGCGUGGGAAUGAUUCUACUUCCUAGUUUAGAAGGAUUUAAGGUCCCGAGGGCUAGGGUUUGGUCGUGAAACCCUUUACUGGUUUGAUUCUUGAUGAAUAUUCUUUAUUAUGGCUAUGACUAGGGUGUACUGCUAGGUUUGGGAGGAAAGGAUCGCACUCAGAGUCAUCAUACCUAGUUUGCUCAAGACUUGUGGUAAGAAAACUGCACCUGGACUGUGAUUAGGGCUUAAGCCUCGGUUAGGGAACAUGGUGAUAACCAUGCAUGAAAUGUUUGAUUAAACAUGAUUGAAUUGCACUGUGUUUAUCUGUAUUAAGUUAUAAAUGCUUAUCUAUUUGUAUCUGAUUGAAAAACUCAACUUAUAAGUCGUGGUUGACAUUAGAGUGCGGAACGCAACCCGUUAUGGUUGGGCCACCUCAGAAGGGUGAUAUACGCUUGCACGGAUCUACAGCCGCUUAAUAUAGAGUGUGGUUCACACUUGGCCGGCUCUGUAGUCGUUUCAAAAGGAAUAGUGUGAUGGGCACAUGUGUAGCUCUAUGGCCUCUUAAAUGUAUUGAAUGCAUGCUAUUUUUUAUUUGUAGUCUGUUGAAAAGCUGUUUAUGAGCAUGUUUAUAUUUUCUUGCUGAGCCUUGUCUCACAGGUGCAACGUGGUGCAUGUAAGGGCAAAGAGAAACUGGACCAACCAUGAGUUGGAGAGCUUCAAGGGCGGAGUGUACAUAUGUGACCUGCUCGACCGCCACGACCGAGAUUACUUGCUGGAACUAGGGUUGAACCCUGAUUUUGCCACCUAGGCCGACCAUUUGUGUUUAUUUUUUAUUUGUAUCAAUUAAUAGAUUCUUUUUGCAAUCCCGUGUACAGACUUAAACUUUUUUAUGAAAUGAUUACUGCUUGACCAAAAAUUUUAAUACCUAAUCCUUGAGUUUGUAA